GUCUACGGUCAUGCCACCCUGAACAAGCCUGAUCCUGUCUGAUCUCGGAAGCUAAGCAGAGUCGGGCCUGGUUAGUCCUUGGAUGGGAGACCACCUAGGAAGACCAGGUGCUGUAGGUG
Molecule: ribosomal RNA, 119 nt
Filed under: Pteropus alecto (black flying fox)
Lineage: Eukaryota; Metazoa; Chordata; Mammalia; Chiroptera; Pteropodidae
Source: RNAcentral